CCUACGGGCGGCAGCAGUGGGGAAUAUUGGACAAUGGGGGAAACCCUGAUCCAGCGACGCCGCGUGAGUGAAGAAGUAUUUCGGUACGUAAAGCUCUAUCAGCAGGACAGAAAAUGACGGUACCUGACUCAGAAGCCCCGGCUAACUACGUGCCAGCAGCCGCGGUAAUACGUAGGGGGCAAGCGUUAUCCGGAUUUACUGGGUGUAAAGGGAGCGUAGACGGCAGCGCAAGUCUGGAGUGAAAUGCCGGGGCCCAACCCCGGAACUGCUCUGGAAACUGUGAAGCUAGAGUGUAGGAGAGGUAAGCGGAAUGCCUGGUGUAGCGGUGAAAUGCUUAGAGAUCAGGCGGAACACCGGCGGCGAAGGCGGCUUACUGGACUGUAACUGACGUUGAGGCUCGAAGGCGUGGGGAGCAAACAGGAUUAGAUACCCCUGUAGUC
Molecule: ribosomal RNA, 440 nt
Filed under: uncultured bacterium
Lineage: Bacteria
Description: partial 16S ribosomal RNA
Rfam family: Bacterial small subunit ribosomal RNA
Source: RNAcentral